This 518-nucleotide ribosomal RNA is filed under the name uncultured Acidobacteriota bacterium. RNAcentral describes it as "bacterial SSU rRNA". It matches the Rfam family "Bacterial small subunit ribosomal RNA", at positions 8 to 522 of the family's 1533-position model. The record is from RNAcentral. Lineage: Bacteria; Pseudomonadati; Acidobacteriota.
AGAGUUUGAUCUUGGCUCAGAAUGAACGCUGGCGGCGUGCCUUACACAUGCAAGUCGAGCGAGGAGACCCGCAAGGGUCAUUCGAGCGGCGAACGGGUGAGUAACACGUGGAUAACCUACCCAGAGGUGGGGGAUAACCCGGGGAAACUCGGGCUAAUACCGCAUGAUACCGAGAGGUCAAAGGGGCGGCUCGCAAGAGCGUCUCGCCAUUGGAGGGGUCCGCGUCCGAUUAGCUAGUUGGUAGGGUAAUGGCCUACCAAGGCGACGAUCGGUAGCCGGCCUGAGAGGGUGAUCGGCCACACUGGAACUGAGACACGGUCCAGACUCCUACGGGAGGCAGCAGUGGGGAAUUUUGCGCAAUGGGCUAACGCCUGACGCAGCAACGCCGCGUGGAGGAUGAAGGUCUUUGGAUUGUAAACUCCUGUCAGCAGGGAAAAAGCGACUUGGCCUAAUACGCCAGGGAGUUGAUUGUACCUGCAGAGGAAGCCCCGGCUAACUCUGUGCCAGCAGCCGCCGCA